Long non-coding RNA from Panicum virgatum (switchgrass), 960 nucleotides. RefSeq lists it as uncharacterized. The transcript is spliced from 2 exons. The record is from RefSeq and is a predicted model, not a curated record. NCBI's taxonomy places the organism in Eukaryota, Viridiplantae, Streptophyta, Magnoliopsida, Poales, Poaceae.
CCUCCUCUCCCCUCGUGUUCCUUUCCCGAGCAGCUGCAGCUCAGCGCCCUGCCCCUGCCUGCCCGCGGCGCACAGUAGGCAGCUGCAGCGGCGCCCUCGGCUGCUCCCUUGUGGCGAGCGGUGCCUGCCGCGCGAGCGCCCAGGAGCCGAGGCGCGGACUCACAGCAAGAACCAGGCCAGCCACGCAGCGGCCGGCAGCAAGCCGUGGCGCUCUCGCGCAGCAAGCAGGCAGAGCAGCUGGUAGCAGUAGCAAGAGCUCUUGACGCCAGCAGCAAGCAGUAGCAAGAGCGUAGCAGCACAGGUGUGCGCCCACAAGGUGUUCGACGUUUUGCUGCGUACAUGCUAGCAGCCCGGCAGCACCUGCACACGGCCCGGCAAGGUGUCCACACGCAAGAAGGCAGCCCAGCACUCAGCAGCAGCACGAUCUCAGGUCCAAGCACACGAGAUGGACUCAUUGCUCCGGAGGUUGCUUGAAGAUGACUCGUCUUCGGAUGAGAACUAUGAUGUGGCGGCUAUAAUGCUCGCUAAUCUUGCAAAGAAUGAGCAGCCCAAACAUGGUGAUUCUGUGCAAGGGCAUGAGGUGGUUCGUCGGAACAAGCAGAAAGGAGAUGCAAAGCUCUUUGAUGAAAAGGGUCAACCUGAAAAUUUUGUGUACGACCAUGUGGGAACACCUGUGGAACCCGAACAAGAUGAAGACCGAGUCUACAAUUUUCUAGAAAUGCAUCGAAAGAUCGAAGACCCCGUGGCACAUAGCCAGCUUCGUGAUGACCUUGUUGAGCAUUUGUGGCAAAUACAUGGGCAAUUAAAAUUACUCUUGUAGCUGAACUACUCUUGUAGCAAUUUUAUUUGAAUGUAUAUAUGGAGUAUGGAAAUUCAGAGUAUUCUGAAUUUUGAAUUCUUUCACUUGUCUGUGCAUAACAUUCUGAAUUCAGAGUAUGUAUAAACUGACCUUUUUCCCUC